This 484-nucleotide ribosomal RNA is filed under the name Flavobacterium sp. DB1.1-4. Its description in RNAcentral is "bacterial SSU rRNA". It matches the Rfam family "Bacterial small subunit ribosomal RNA", at positions 11 to 496 of the family's 1533-position model. Lineage: Bacteria; Pseudomonadati; Bacteroidota; Flavobacteriia; Flavobacteriales; Flavobacteriaceae. The record is from RNAcentral.
GUUUGAUCCUGGCUCAGGAUGAACGCUAGCGGCAGGCUUAACACAUGCAAGUCGAGGGGUAUAAUUCUUCGGAAUUAGAGACCGGCGCACGGGUGCGUAACGCGUAUGCAAUCUACCUUUCACAGAGGGAUAGCCCAGAGAAAUUUGGAUUAAUACCUCAUAGUAUAUUGAGUUGGCAUCAACACAAUAUUAAAGUCACAACGGUGAAAGAUGAGCAUGCGUCCCAUUAGCUAGUUGGUAAGGUAACGGCUUACCAAGGCUACGAUGGGUAGGGGUCCUGAGAGGGAGAUCCCCCACACUGGUACUGAGACACGGACCAGACUCCUACGGGAGGCAGCAGUGAGGAAUAUUGGACAAUGGGCGCAAGCCUGAUCCAGCCAUGCCGCGUGCAGGAUGACGGUCCUAUGGAUUGUAAACUGCUUUUGCACAGGAAGAAACAACGCUACGUGUAGCGUCUUGACGGUAUCGUGAGAAUAAGGAUCGG